Molecule: non-coding RNA, 1351 nt
Organism: Malus domestica (apple)
Lineage: Eukaryota; Viridiplantae; Streptophyta; Magnoliopsida; Rosales; Rosaceae
Source: RefSeq, a predicted model, not a curated record
UUGAGUUUGGUGAGUUUGUUAAGAAGGUUGUGCCAAAGUUUCAGCAUUUUAUUUCAUGGCAUAUGAUCAUGGUGAAUUAAUUAAGGCCAGAGUGCAGUGCUGGCAGAUUGGCUGCAGGGUUUAAAACGAAAGUUGGAAGGGGAGUAGGACAGAGCACUUGCAGGCGCGGAGGUGCCGGGCUCGGCUUGAUCAUUUAGAAUUGGCAGAUGUGGAGAGCCUGUCUGAAUGGAAUAACACGCGCGUGAAUCGGAUCCUUGUGGACUACAUAUUGCGGAUGUCUUAUUAUGACACCGCAGUGAAGCUGGCGGAAAGUAGAAAUAUUCAGGAUCUUGUUGAUAUUGAUGUAUUCCAAGAACCGAAAUAGGUUAUUGAAGCCCUUCAGAAUAAGGACGUGGGUCCAGCCCUAGCCUGGUGCGCCGAGAACAAGUCAAGGUUAAAGAAAUCCAAGGUAUGUACUCCCUUUUGUUUUGGGGGAGGGGAGGGAAGCUUGCUUUUAAUUGGUGGGUUAGACGAGUUUGCUAAUACUAUUAUUCUGUCAUUAAAAUGAUCUGUUCUGUUGCUUGUAUUUGGAAGAAAGUUGCGAAGGGUUUAGGUACCCUUCAUUUAUCUGAAUCUUGACCCAUUAUGAUUGGGUUUUGAAGAGAAAAUUAGGUACAAGGUUUGGAGGAAGGAGAGAAUUAGGCACAAUGUUUGGUGUUGGCGGCCUUGUUACUGGUGAAAGAGAUAAAAGGAAAGUUCUUUUCUUUAGUUUUUAAAAUUUUUUAUUUUUAAAAUUUUCAUAUAGUAUUUUAUUAAUCAUGGGUCCAUUUGCCUACCACACCAGUAUUCUGGCGAAAAACUUAACAAUGUUACCACGGAAGGACCAAUGCUACACCUUUUGUCAAAUUGAAGGACCAAAUUAAUAGAUUUUUAGUUGAGUAAUUAUAGCUACAAUUCAGUCAUAGUUAAGGGAUCAUAGUUACAAUUUGCUCUUAUAAUGUGGAGGGGAAAAUAGGUUAGUGGAGUGGGUCUAGAAGUUCUCUUUUUAAUUUGUCGUAUAAACUAAAAUUUUAAGCGAUUUGUCAUAUCAAAUUUCAAAAACCAUUUAUUUGCCAUCUCACCCUAACUCCAUUAAGUUUUUUUUUAUCCAAAAUAAGCCAUGUGCAAGGCACAUCACAUGACUUAUUUUCAAGUUUCUCUUCAAGGAGGAAGAUGAUGGCGAAUCUAGUCGGUGAAAAACGACAUUGCAAUUGGUGGGGCGACGACACUGCCAAGGUGGGUGGGUGUUGGUCUCCGCCACCAAGGUUGCGUCAUGGGUGGCGGUGGCUAUUUGGUCGAAGGGGAUGGGAAGGACGAUGUAUUUCUCAAUUUU